Molecule: ribosomal RNA, 594 nt
Filed under: uncultured fungus
Lineage: Eukaryota; Fungi
Description: eukaryotic LSU rRNA
Rfam family: 5.8S ribosomal RNA (bases 232-384)
Source: RNAcentral
AAGUCGUAACAAGGUCUCCGUUGGUGAACCAGCGGAGGGAUCAUUACCGAGUUUACAACUCCCAAACCCAUGUGAACAUUACCUCUAUGUUGCUUCGGCGGAGCCGCCCCGGCGCCCGGAACCCCCUGCGGUCCCGCGGCCCGGAACCAAGGCGCCCGCCGGAGGCCACAAACUCUUCUGUUUUUACAGUUUCUUCUGAGUGUGCCGCAAGGCAGUAUACAAAUGAAUCAAAACUUUCAACAACGGAUCUCUUGGUUCUGGCAUCGAUGAAGAACGCAGCGAAAUGCGAUAAGUAAUGUGAAUUGCAGAAUUCAGUGAAUCAUCGAAUCUUUGAACGCACAUUGCGCCCGCCAGAAUUCUGGCGGCAUGCCUGUUCGAGCGUCAUUUCAACCCUCGAGCUCCCCUUUCGGGGGAGCCCGGCGUUGGGGACCCGGCGCUAACAACGCCGGCCCCGAAAUGGAGUGGCGGCCCGUCCGCGGCGACCUCUGCGUAGUAACAACCACUCGCACCGGGACCCGGGCGCGGCCACGCCGUAAAACACCCCACCUUCCGAAUGUUGACCUCGAAUCAGGUAGGAAUACCCGCUGAACUUAA